RNA transcript from Capsicum annuum, 2365 nucleotides. It is a transcript of the gene named F-box/kelch-repeat protein SKIP6-like, with no coding region annotated. NCBI's taxonomy places the organism in Eukaryota, Viridiplantae, Streptophyta, Magnoliopsida, Solanales, Solanaceae. The record is from RefSeq and is a predicted model, not a curated record. The transcript is spliced from 5 exons.
GUCCCUCUUUCUCUUUUCUGCAAUUUGUCAUGGAAAAGCAAUAAUAAUUUUCUAAGUUCUCCUUCUUCCGUCCAAUUAUUUGGGUGCUUGUACAUUUCUCCUCCUCCUUCCCCAUCCAUCCUCAUGAACAAAACCCUUUCCAAAUUGAGAUUUACCACCAUACAAGAACCCUAAAUCCACAACUUAGACCAUUUCGUUUUCUUUGAUACAAAUGGCGGAUGUUGCCCCACAAUCUCAGCUCAUCCCUAAUCUCCCAGACGACAUAGCCUUACAAUGUCUAGCAAGAAUCCCCCGUUCCCAUCACCCUACACUGUAUCUCGUCUCCAAAUCUUGGCGGUCCACCUUAACUUCCCCUGCACUCUACAACACCCGAUCACUCCUCCGUACUACCGAGAAUUUCCUCUACCUAAAACUCCGUAUUAACUCCACUUUCCACUGGUACACUCUCGUCUCCCACAAAUUGUUUCCAGUUUGUUCAAUGCCCGUUAAGCCGAUUGGACCGGCUUUCGCUGUAUUGGGAUCCAAGAUAUAUGUGAUUGGUGGAUCUAUUGCUGAAAUACCGUCGAAUAAUGUGUGGGUUUUUGAUUGUAGGUUUAAUUGUUGGGAAAUGGGACCGAGGAUGAGGAUUGGUAGAGAAUUUGCUGCGGCUGGUGUUGUGAAUGGGAAGAUUUAUGUGAUGGGUGGGUGUGUGGUUGAUAACUGGGCGAGGUCGAUGAAUUGGGCCGAGGUUUUUGAUCCCGUAACGGGGUUAUGGACUGCGUUACCGAGUCCGAUUGAAGUUAGGGAUAAGUGGAUGCAUGCUAGUGCGGUUGUGGGGGGCAGGGUUUAUGCGAUGGCGGAUAGGGGAGGAGUGGUGUAUGAUGUUGAAGGGUGUCAAUGGAGGAGUGUGUCGAAAAGGCUUGAUUUGGGUUGGAGAGGACGGGCUGCGGUGGUGGGAGGGGUGUUGUAUUGUUAUGAUUAUUUGGGUAAGAUUAGAGGGUAUGAUGUGAAGGAAGAUGUAUGGAAAGAGUUGAGAGGGGUGGAUAAGGGGUUGCCGAAGUUUUUGUGUGGUGCUACGAUGGUGAAUUUUGAUGAUAGGUUGUGUGUUGUGUGGGAAGGAAAAGGGAGUGGCAAGGAAGUUGAUAUUAUGUGUGCGGAGAUUCAAGUGUGGAGGGAUGAGGAUGGAGGGUUGAGUGGGAACAUUUUGUGGUCGGAUAUGAUUCUUGUUGUUCCUAAUGGUGCCUCAAUUGUGCAAUGCUUGGCAGUUGAUUUGUGAUGAUUACUAAUAAUAAGUAUGUGGAUUGUGGCUGCCUAAUGUGUUAGAUGUGCUUAUGGUGUUGGUAGCAAAAAUAGGGGGAAUUUCUGGAAUGGAUAGUGGAUUGGCAAAAGGUUCCCAUGGAAUCAGAAUUGGGAGGAUUACAUGUGAGGCGUCAGAAAGAUGGACAAUGGUUUGCUGUUGAACCUAUUCCUGGUGCAUUGGGUUGUAUCAAUGGCAUGGUUUUGAAGUUAGAGGUACUAUGGAGGAAAUUCUAGCAGUUGAUGGAAGGAAUUCAGUGUUGUAAAAGGCGCUCGCCACGUCACCAAUGGCGAAUGGCGAGGUGAGGCCUGGUCGCCACUUCACGUCGUGACACUGCGACAAUCAAAAGGCGUCGCCUUUCCGAGAAAGGCGACAUGGCGACAAUGGCGUUGCCUUUUAAUUGGUGACUGCCGCUGCUACCAUUUAUCUCACAAGUUCGAUUCCGGCGACUGGCAAUGUACUCCGGCGACUCCCGCUACUCCGUUGAUUGGAGAUUUUGUGGGAACCUACAUGUUGAUAUUUGCUGGUUGUGCUGCUAUAAUUUUGAAUAUAAACAAGGACAACGUUGUCACACUACCAGGAAUCGCGUCUGUUUGGGGACUUGUUGUCAUGGUUUUAAUUUACUCUGGUGCACAUUUUAACACUGCUGUAACCAUUGCAUUUGCCACUAGUCCUGGAGAAUGCUUAACUAGUCCUGCCUGUACUGGGGAAUGCAAUAUCAUUGAGCCAGCAAAAGCACUAAUCAGUGAAACCAAUCCUCCUAAAUACAAGUCAUUCUCCUACACCGAGUACUUGAAGAUUUUCUUCACUGACACCUCUGAAUUUGAAGCUGCUCUCAACCCAUAUAAGCUUUAGUUUAUUUAUCCCUAAGGAAUAAAUGAUGCGCUUUUGAUUGGAGUAAGGCUGCAUGCGACAAACCCUUGUGUUUCAGUCUUUACCUGGACUCUCGUUUAUCAUGUUUUGCUCCGUAAAGUUAUCCAAUGACCUUGAAUAAAGUGACCUUGAUCUUCUGACCACAAUAGCAAUAUGUACAAAUCUUUAAGGUCAAAGACCAAAAAGUGUAUAUGAGAAAAAAACUGUUUAAUCUUA